CAGUCGCCACGGUAAUACAGAGGGUGCGAGCGUUAAUCGGAUUUACUGGGCGUAAAGCGUGCGUAGGCGGCUUCUUAAGUCGGAUGUGAAAUCCCUGAGCUUAACUUAGGAAUUGCAUUCGAUACUGGGAAGAUAGAGUAUGGGAGAGGAUGGUAGAAUUCCAGGUGUAGCGGUGAAAUGCGUAGAGAUCUGGAGGAAUACCGAUGGCGAAGGCAGCCAUCUGGCCUAAUACUGACGCUGAGGUACGAAAGCAUGGGGAGCAAACAGGAUUAGAUACCCCAGUAGUCCCUGUCUCUUAUAC
This 301-nucleotide ribosomal RNA is filed under the name uncultured bacterium. RNAcentral describes it as "partial 16S ribosomal RNA". It matches the Rfam family "Bacterial small subunit ribosomal RNA", at positions 509 to 807 of the family's 1533-position model. The record is from RNAcentral.